GGAUGUGAAGACGACCUGGCUGUGACAUCUGUCACCCAUUGGUCACUAGGGCUGAUUUAACUGAUCAGCCUGGGUAGACUGGUGUCCCCUUCCUCGCCAUUCUGAGUUUGGCUCUCAGAAGCUGUGUGUUCAAUCAAAGAGGAUGGCCUUCCCCAGAUAGAGGAGGUCAGGUGUUGAGUCAAGGAUUCACGACAGCUGCACUCUUCUGUCAGAAUUUCCAGGCAAGCUCUCGAAGGCUUGUGUGAGAGAGUCCCAGGAGUGAAGUCUUUCAGAAAACUUACUUU
RNAcentral lists this small nuclear RNA (284 nucleotides) under Microtus ochrogaster (prairie vole). Its description in RNAcentral is "7SK RNA (ENSMOCG00000007259.1)". It matches the Rfam family "7SK RNA". From Rfam's summary of the family: 7SK was discovered as an abundant small nuclear RNA in the mid-70s but a possible function has only recently been suggested. Two independent studies have found that 7SK RNA binds the CDK9/cyclin T complex (known as elongation factor P-TEFb). P-TEFb activates transcription by phosphorylating the C-terminal domain of RNA polymerase II. Lineage: Eukaryota; Metazoa; Chordata; Mammalia; Rodentia; Cricetidae. The record is from RNAcentral.